CUCAGCUUCAUAAGGCUGAAAUCUGUUGUGUGAGGGCUCUCUCUGUUGCCGUCUGUUCACCAUCACCCAGCAGAUUAAGAGAUGAUUCCAAGUAUCCCAAAUCCAAGCCCACAAGCAUUUGGCAGAUGGUUCUGUGAUGAGUAACAAGCAUUUUGGAAAGGAAAUCCAUCUCCAUUUCUGAUCAGCAUUUUGGAGGUCAUGUCUUGUGAAGCAGAUAAUAAACUUCAUAUAAUAUGUUUUUGACA
RNAcentral lists this long non-coding RNA (245 nucleotides) under Pogona vitticeps (central bearded dragon). RNAcentral's name for it is "lncRNA (ENSPVIG00000024182.1)". Lineage: Eukaryota; Metazoa; Chordata; Lepidosauria; Squamata; Agamidae. The record is from RNAcentral.